RNAcentral lists this transfer RNA (84 nucleotides) under Shigella boydii. RNAcentral describes it as "tRNA-Met". It matches the Rfam family "tRNA". From Rfam's summary of the family: Transfer RNA (tRNA) molecules are approximately 80 nucleotides in length. Lineage: Bacteria; Pseudomonadati; Pseudomonadota; Gammaproteobacteria; Enterobacterales; Enterobacteriaceae. The record is from RNAcentral.
GGCCCUUUAGCUCAGUUGGUCNUUGGUCAGAGCGAGCGACUCAUAAUCGCCAGGUCGCUGGUUCAAGUCCAGCAAGGGCCACCA